RNAcentral lists this long non-coding RNA (257 nucleotides) under Mytilus galloprovincialis (Mediterranean mussel). The record is from RNAcentral. Lineage: Eukaryota; Metazoa; Mollusca; Bivalvia; Mytilida; Mytilidae.
CAUGUCUCUUGUUAUAUAACGUGAUCAGUAGACAUUAUAUUCGUAAACUGGCAUAAAAAUCAUGAUGCCAAUCUAAAUAAUUUAAUGCAAUUGAGAGAUGGAAGUAAAUUACUAAAAACAAAUCAAGUUCAAAUAACAAUGAUUUUUUUUUUAAACCCGACACUAAAAAGCAUUGUGCAAUAUAUUUAACGCACAUUGCGGACAAGACUAUCAAAAUCUGCAAUUAUUCUAUAUUAUACUCGAGGAUGAUAUGAGAG